AGACCUCUGAUCAGAAAAGACUACCCGCUGAGUUUAAGCAUAUCACUAAGCGGAGGAGAAGAAACUAACCCAGGAUUUCCCCUAGUAACGGCGAGCGACACCGGAAAGAG
This 110-nucleotide ribosomal RNA is filed under the name Leucobryum scabrum. Its description in RNAcentral is "partial 26S rRNA". It matches the Rfam family "Eukaryotic large subunit ribosomal RNA", at positions 1 to 107 of the family's 3401-position model. RNAcentral also lists the same sequence under 1 other name. Lineage: Eukaryota; Viridiplantae; Streptophyta; Bryopsida; Dicranales; Leucobryaceae. The record is from RNAcentral.